Molecule: transfer RNA, 78 nt
Filed under: Betaproteobacteria bacterium
Lineage: Bacteria; Pseudomonadati; Pseudomonadota; Betaproteobacteria
Description: tRNA-Leu
Rfam family: tRNA
About the family: Transfer RNA (tRNA) molecules are approximately 80 nucleotides in length.
Source: RNAcentral
ACCCCGCUGGCGGAAUCGGCAUACGCGCGUGUCUCAGAAACACGUUUUGUCCGGGUUCGAAUCCCGGGUGGGGUACCA